AAGGAGGAGAUCAAAAUGUAGGAUCUGACAACACAGGAGAAGAAAAGGGGUUUAAAAUAGAGGAGAAAGCAGAGAUGAAAGCAGGUGAAAGUAAUCAACUAGACAAGAGACAGAUUAAAGACAUGAUGAACUGACAGUGUACACACAGAGGAGGAACUGACCAAAAUGGGUGCAAGACCUCGAAACUUAACAAAAUCCAUAAACAAUGCAAAGGAAUUAAAGAAAGCCUAACCCAAAAUUAACAACAUCCCAACACAAACACCUAAGGAUCGUGACAUAUAGACAAUGAAACUGCACAAUGUUAAAAAAGCUUUGCAGUAAUGACAACAUGGCAUGUUUUCCUUAGAUAUGUCACAUAAUGUUUAGGUUCAGUUUCAGCCAUUCUUUAGCUGAAGCUCCUAAGGUUAAACAUGUUUCUUUUCUUUCCAGGAUCAGAAACUGACACUGGUAAUUGGUUCUCACGCCUGCUUUUUUCUCGGACACCUACCAGGGACACAGGAGUGAGCUUUUUUGAUUCUAAAAAAUCUGACCAGUCAAAUGAAAAAAGGAAGGUGAAGGUCCACUUUAUAUCCAACCACGAUACGUUUGGUGCUGAUGAUGCCAUAAAGAAAAAGUUAAAGAGCAACAUGGGGUCAUCACUACAGGAAGAAAAAAGAAGGGAGAAAUGCAACAUGAUUGUUGUCUUCUGUCCAGUCGACCGCAGUGUUGAAUCAGGUGUAAACUCAAUGAUGGAAGCUACAGCAGUUUCAUCUUCUGGUAAACCCGUCAUUCUAGUUCUGAUGCAUCACACCAGAGACCCGGACUAUUCCACUGGACUAUAUGACCCUCGUGAAUCGUGGAACAAUGUUGUGCAUUAUGUUCAUGUUCUGUACCAUGAGACUACACAAGGAUUACUGACAUAUUCUGAUAUUGACCAGGCAAUCAAUGGCAUUCAACAAUUCCUACUAAAGAAACAACAGUUUGUUUGAAGUGUGCUUUAUCGGUCUUGUUUAAAAAUGUUUUAGCUCAGUAGUCCAUUUCUUCAUUGCAUUUC
Molecule: long non-coding RNA, 1033 nt
Organism: Fundulus heteroclitus (mummichog)
Lineage: Eukaryota; Metazoa; Chordata; Actinopteri; Cyprinodontiformes; Fundulidae
Exons: 4
Source: RefSeq, a predicted model, not a curated record